This 1906-nucleotide unclassified non-coding RNA is filed under the name Cyanidioschyzon merolae strain 10D. RNAcentral describes it as "hypothetical transcript". The record is from RNAcentral. Lineage: Eukaryota; Rhodophyta; Bangiophyceae; Cyanidiales; Cyanidiaceae.
AGCUUCUUUUCGAGGUGCAACGCGGUGUCGUGCUUGGGCGUCGCAGCGCGAGCCGCCCGGCCUCGAGCAAGACAGCUCGAUAUGCCGCGUGGCUGCUACGACGUCGUUUACCGUGCCGAGACUAGGUCGCUCGCGUGCCGCGGAAAAGGCGAUAGCUUGUUCGUGCGGGAGGAAUGCAGAACCUAACCAGAGACUUUGGUUAAAAAGCAGCACGAACCGUGCUCGAUGUCGACGGCGCCCGCACAGCUCAGGCAGAUAAUCGCUGUGCACAGCAACGUGCAGGCGCAACUGCAGGCCUGCGAAGUCGAGCAUUCGGGCGCUGACUCGGAGCGCAAAGCAGCACGCAAGAACGACAAGUACUGGUCAGGGAGUGCGCAGUGUGCACGCACGCAAAAUUCCCACAGCGCUCUAGUGAAGUGCGCUUGGAAUGCUCGCUGCGCACCUGUACCCUGCACAGCACCAGUGCCGUCGUGCGCCUGGUGCCGCGUUGCGCGCAAGUUUGCAGGUGCACGCAUAUGGGCAUGCACGCAUAGCCGAAUAUACACGUGUCCCAGUGCAUGCAUUGUCGACUGUACACGUGUCCCAGUGCAUGCAUUGUCGACUGUACACGUGUCCCAGUGCAUGCAUGCGUGCUUCACGGCACGACAGCUGUGUAUUCCUCUCUAGAUAUAUGCAGUACGCAUUUGCGCUCGCUGCAAGCGUAUCGCGGAGCACAGACGCACUGUACACGAGCAAUAUGCACGCAAACGCGGACCGUCUGCUCCGUCCUUGCACAUGGUUUUCGUAUGGAGCAGAGAGAGCGUCGUUGAUUUCGCGCUGAGGUCGCCCGGAGCCCAGUAGCAGACAUAUCCGCUUUGAGAGCCGUCACCGGGAGCAUACCAUUGCAGCCGCAUGCUUCUCUUGGCAGUAUGGGAUCGGUGUCCGAUUCGAAUGCUGCUGGUAUGGGGGCAUAAGGUUCAGGGCUUUACGCCGAGCAGGAUCUCGGAAUGACCUAAACACCGCGCGCGCUAGCAAUAACACCUACAGCAUGGCUAGCGCACUGGUUCGAAGCGCCUGCGGAUGCAGCGGCGAGCAUUGCAUAUCGACAACAUCCAAUAGGGUCUUGAUAGGCUCGGGCACGCCCCGCAUGCAACUUUCGACACAUUUUCGAGGCCGUUCACGGAACGUAUGCAGCGUGGCGGCGGCAUGCCCUCAGCGUCGUAGAACGAACGCGAGGCAACAGAGGCAGCAGGCGCAACCACAGGCACGAUCGCUGCCGACAAAGCCGAUACCGCUGGAAUCCCGUCGCUGUGCCGUUGCAACGCUUCGAUGCGGCGCGCUUCCGCCCGAUCACGUCGUUUUCUGGUGACUCGCACGCGCCACUGAGAAAGCGGUCAUGUGUCUUGGGUGCAGGCAUCGGGCAGGCAGCGGCAGAUGGGCGCGAAACUCCGCGGCAUGCGCUCUACGUGUUGUGGCGUCACCAGGUGGCAUUCUGGUGCUGGCGAAGGCGUCGGUAUAUGACGUACCGUCGAUUGCUCUCUGGCGUCGCGUUCGCUACACGGCUCGGAAGAGCGUCGACUGCAAGCGCAGUCGCUGUCGUUCCCGAUAUCACUGACCCGAUGGCUCUGGGCUGCUGACAGAAACCGCAGCGCUGCCGGAGCACUGCUCCAGCACGUUGGCCCAGGUCCAGCAAUCUCGCUCGGACACGGAGCGCUUAUCGGCGUUCUCGGUAGCUGCAAAUCACCUGCGCCAUCACGAUACUGAGAACGAGCGAGAAACUCCUUGCGCUCGUGGCAUACCCAAGUCCCAGAGGCUUAAAACGCCCGCGCAGGUGCAAAUCGCAAGCGCCCGUUGCUUUCUCCUCGGAUUCCCGUUCGACGCCCGACAUUCCGCUGCACGCCUCUAGCUAAACUGCUCAACAAGCAGC